AACGAACGCUGGCGGCAGGCCUAACACAUGCAAGUCGAACGCUCGUAGCAAUACGGGAGUGGCAGACGGGUGAGUAACACGUGGGAACCUUCCCUAUGGUUCGGAAUAGCUCAGGGAAACUUGGGGUAAUACCGGAUAAGCCCUUCGGGGGAAAGAUUUAUCGCCAUUGGAUGGGCCCGCGUCGGAUUAGCUAGUUGGUGAGGUAACGGCUCACCAAGGCAACGAUCCGUAGCUGGUCUGAGAGGAUGAUCAGCCACACUGGGACUGAGACACGGCCCAGACUCCUACGGGGGGCAGCAGUGGGGAAUUUUUCGCAAUGGGCGAAAGCCUGACGAAGCAACGCCGCGUGGAGGAUGAAGGCC
RNAcentral lists this ribosomal RNA (362 nucleotides) under uncultured bacterium. RNAcentral's name for it is "bacterial SSU rRNA". It matches the Rfam family "Bacterial small subunit ribosomal RNA", at positions 29 to 416 of the family's 1533-position model. The record is from RNAcentral.